RNAcentral lists this ribosomal RNA (253 nucleotides) under uncultured bacterium. RNAcentral describes it as "partial 16S ribosomal RNA". It matches the Rfam family "Bacterial small subunit ribosomal RNA", at positions 524 to 776 of the family's 1533-position model. The record is from RNAcentral.
UACAGAGGUCUCAAGCGUUGUUCGGAUUCAUUGGGCGUAAAGGGUGUGUAGGCGGUUAUCCAAGUCGGGUGUGAAAGCCUUGAGCUCAACUCAAGAAAUGCACUCGGUACUGGGUGACUAGAGGACCGGAGAGGAUAGUGGAAUUCCCAGUGUAGUGGUGAAAUACGUAGAGAUUGGGAAGAACACCAGUGGCGAAGGCGGCUAUCUGGACGGUUUCUGACGCUAAGACGCGAAAGCGUGGGGAGCAAACAGG